GACGAACGCUGGCGGCGUGCCUAACACAUGCAAGUCGAACGGAGAUCUUAUGGAAUGCGGCUUCGGCCAAAUGAAGUUUGAUCUUAGUGGCGGACGGGCGAGUAACGCGUGAGUAACCUGCCUCUCAGAGGGGGACAACAGUUGGAAACGACUGCUAAUACCGCAUAACGUCAAUUGGGGGCAUCCCCGAGUGACCAAAGAUUUUAUCGCUGAAAGAUGGACUCGCGUCCGAUUAGCUAGAUGGUGGGGUAACGGCCUACCAUGGCGACGAUCGGUAGCCGAACUGAGAGGUUGAUCGGCCGCAUUGGGACUGAGACACGGCCCAGACUCCUACGGGAGGCAGCAGUGGGGGAUAUUGCACAAUGGAGGAAACUCUGAUGCAGCAACGCCGCGUGAGGGAAGACGGUCUUCGGAUUGUAAACCUAGUUAUCAGGGACGAUUANGACGGUACCUGAAGAGAAAGCUCCGGCUAACUACGUG
This 480-nucleotide ribosomal RNA is filed under the name uncultured bacterium. Its description in RNAcentral is "bacterial SSU rRNA". It matches the Rfam family "Bacterial small subunit ribosomal RNA", at positions 28 to 507 of the family's 1533-position model. The record is from RNAcentral.